UACAGAGGGUGCGAGCGUUAAUCGGAUUUACUGGGCGUAAAGGGCGCGUAGGUGGUAAGGCAAGUAAGAUGUGAAAGCCCUGGGCUUAACCUGGGAAGUGCAUCUUAAACUGCCUAACUAGAGUAUGGUAGAGGGUAGUGGAAUUUCCGGUGUAGCGGUGAAAUGCGUAGAGAUCGGAAGGAACGCCAGUGGUGAAGACGACUACUUGGACCAAUACUGACACUGAGGCGCGAAAGCGUGGGGAUCAAACAGG
This 253-nucleotide ribosomal RNA is filed under the name uncultured bacterium. Its description in RNAcentral is "partial 16S ribosomal RNA". It matches the Rfam family "Bacterial small subunit ribosomal RNA", at positions 524 to 776 of the family's 1533-position model. The record is from RNAcentral.